CAACUUUCAACAACGGAUCUCUUGGCUCUCGCAUCGAUGAAGAACGCAGCGAAAUGCGAUACGUAAUGUGAAUUGCAGAAUUCAGUGAAUCAUCGAAUCUUUGAACGCACCUUGCGCCCCUUGGUAUUCCGAGGGGCACACCUGUUUGAGUGUCG
Molecule: ribosomal RNA, 155 nt
Filed under: Lactarius brachycystidiatus
Lineage: Eukaryota; Fungi; Basidiomycota; Agaricomycetes; Russulales; Russulaceae
Description: 5.8S ribosomal RNA
Rfam family: 5.8S ribosomal RNA
About the family: 5.8S ribosomal RNA (5.8S rRNA) is a component of the large subunit of the eukaryotic ribosome. It is transcribed by RNA polymerase I as part of the 45S precursor that also contains 18S and 28S rRNA.
Source: RNAcentral